Molecule: long non-coding RNA, 664 nt
Organism: Pygocentrus nattereri (red-bellied piranha)
Lineage: Eukaryota; Metazoa; Chordata; Actinopteri; Characiformes; Serrasalmidae
Exons: 4
Source: RefSeq, a predicted model, not a curated record
CACUACAUUUGCAUAUCUCAGUGCAUGUUUGAGUUUUGCAAAGUUGUAACAUGUCUUCUGCUUUAUGUUUGGUCCAAUGUAAUAGAAGUGUUAUGUGUAUAUGAAGUCUGUCUUUGAAUUUCUUGGUUAAUUUCUCAAUGUACCAUAUUUGAACAAAUCAGGGAGGACACAGUUUCCAAGAGUAACAUCAAAGAGAGUCAGCCACCAUCCCCGUCAGAACCUGUUCUAUCUACUUGUUCCUCAGCAAGUGAUCAGGUCAGGGAGGACACAGUUUCCAAGAGUAACAUCAAAGAGAGUCAGCCACCAUCCCCGUCAGAACCUGUUCUAUCUACUUGUUCCUCAGCAAGUGAUCAGGGAGGACACAGUUUCCAAGAGUAACAUCAAAGAGAGUCAGCCACCAUCCCCGUCAGAACCUGUUCUAUCUACUUGUUCCUCAGCAAGUGAUCAGAGGACUGGAAAGAACACAAUAUCAGAAAACAGUGCUCAAGAGAACUAUCAGCUGUUGCAAUCAGGACCUGUUCUGUUUGCUUGUUCCUUAGCAAGUGAUCAAGUAAGUCUCUUGUGGUCAUUCCCAAGUGUUUCUUAGAUCUGAAAAUUGCCAACAAGGUUGAAAUUGAAUUUAGCAUCUUUACAGUAUAUGUAGAAUUAGAAAAUCAAAGGGGAA